AGAGUUUGAUCCUGGCUCAGGAUGAACGCUAGCUACAGGCUUAACACAUGCAAGUCGAGGGGAAACGACAUCGAAAGCUUGCUUUUUGAUGGGCGUCGACCGGCGUACGGGUGAGUAACGUGUAUCCAACCUGCCCACCACUUGGGGAUAACCUUGCGAAAGUAAGACUAAUACCCAAUGAUAUCUCUAGAAGACAUCUGAAAGAGAUUAAAGAUUUAUCGGUGAUGGAUGGGGAUGCGUCUGAUUAGCUUGUUGGCGGGGGUAACGGCCCCACCAAGGCAACGAUCAGUAGGGGUUCUGAGAGGAAGGUCCCCCACAUUGGAACUGAGACACGGUCCAAACUCCUACGGGAGGCAGCA
Molecule: ribosomal RNA, 359 nt
Filed under: uncultured bacterium
Lineage: Bacteria
Description: bacterial SSU rRNA
Rfam family: Bacterial small subunit ribosomal RNA
Source: RNAcentral